Molecule: ribosomal RNA, 610 nt
Filed under: Arthrobacter sp. p82_E09
Lineage: Bacteria; Bacillati; Actinomycetota; Actinomycetes; Micrococcales; Micrococcaceae
Description: bacterial SSU rRNA
Rfam family: Bacterial small subunit ribosomal RNA
Source: RNAcentral
UGGGCGUAAGAGCUCGUAGGCGGCUUGUCGCGUCUGCUGUGAAAGCCCGGGGCUCAACCCCGGGUCUGCAGUGGGUACGGGCAGGCUGGAGUGCAGUAGGGGAGACUGGAAUUCCUGGUGUAGCGGUGAAAUGCGCAGAUAUCAGGAGGAACACCGAUGGCGAAGGCAGGUCUCUGGGCUGUAACUGACGCUGAGGAGCGAAAGCAUGGGGAGCGAACAGGAUUAGAUACCCUGGUAGUCCAUGCCGUAAACGUUGGGCACUAGGUGUGGGGGCCAUUCCACGGUUUCCGCGCCGCAGCUAACGCAUUAAGUGCCCCGCCUGGGGAGUACGGCCGCAAGGCUAAAACUCAAAGGAAUUGACGGGGGCCCGCACAAGCGGCGGAGCAUGCGGAUUAAUUCGAUGCAACGCGAAGAACCUUACCAAGGCUUGACAUGUGCCGGACCGUCCCAGAGAUGGGGCUUCCCUUCGGGGCCGGUUCACAGGUGGUGCAUGGUUGUCGUCAGCUCGUGUCGUGAGAUGUUGGGUUAAGUCCCGCAACGAGCGCAACCCUCGUUCCAUGUUGCCAGCACUUCGGGUGGGGACUCAUGGGAGACUGCCGGGGUCAACUCG